This 365-nucleotide RNase P RNA is filed under the name Enterococcus casseliflavus. RNAcentral's name for it is "RNase P RNA component class B". It matches the Rfam family "Bacterial RNase P class B". Rfam says of the family: Ribonuclease P (RNase P) is a ubiquitous endoribonuclease, found in archaea, bacteria and eukarya as well as chloroplasts and mitochondria. Its best characterised activity is the generation of mature 5'-ends of tRNAs by cleaving the 5'-leader elements of precursor-tRNAs. Cellular RNase Ps are ribonucleoproteins. Lineage: Bacteria; Bacillati; Bacillota; Bacilli; Lactobacillales; Enterococcaceae. The record is from RNAcentral.
GUUUUCGGGUAAUUGCGGCAUAACUCGAUUAUGCUGAGGAAAGUCCAUGCUCGCACAAGCUGAGACGCUUGUAGUGUUCGUGCCUAGCGAAACCAUAAGCUAGGGUACUUGAGAAAGUAACGGCAGGAAAAAUGGCUAAGGUGCAAGCUAUGCCAAAGUAUCCUUGAAAGUGCCACAGUGACGAAGCAAGCCGGGAAACCGUCUUGGUGGAACGCGGUAAACCCCUCGAGCGAGCAACCCAAACAAUGGUAGGGGCACUUUUUGCACGGAAAUGAACGGAGCAAGAAGGCAAGUAAUUGCAGAUAGAUAAUUACCCAGUGUUUUCUUCUCCUGAGGAAAAUACGGACAAAACAUGGCUUAUAGAA